This 1035-nucleotide ribosomal RNA is filed under the name Hanusia phi. RNAcentral's name for it is "partial Eukaryotic large subunit ribosomal RNA". It matches the Rfam family "Eukaryotic large subunit ribosomal RNA", at positions 1 to 833 of the family's 3401-position model. Lineage: Eukaryota; Cryptophyceae; Pyrenomonadales; Geminigeraceae. The record is from RNAcentral.
GUCUCAGAUUGGGCGGGAAUACCCGUCGAACUUAAGCAUAUCAAUAGACGGAGGAAAAGAAACUAACCAGGAUUCCUUUAGUAGCGGCGAGCGAAUCAGGAUCAGCUCAAGAUUUUAAUCGGUGGUAGUUCUAAGAAUUUUGCCACCGAGAUUUAAUCCUAAAUGGCGCAAUCGGGAGAUAUGGCAUACUAAGUCUUUUGGAACAAAGCGCCGUAGAGGGUGAUAGCCCCGUGUUUGUACGCCAGUUGUUUAACUCUCCCAGCCGAUGCGCCUUCUUUGAGUCAGGUUGCUUGGGAGUGCAGCCUAAAUAGGGUGGUAUACUUCAUCCAAAGCUAAAUAUGGACAGGAGACCGAUAGCGAACAAGUACCGUGAGGGAAAGAUGAAAAGAACUUUGGAAAGAGAGUGAAAUAGUGCUUGAAACCAUUGGGGGGAAAGCGAAUGGAGCUUCCGUAAUGUCGAAGGAUCUCAAACCAGCGCUUCGGUUGGAACUGGUGUAAUGACUUUGAUUAUGCGUCCUUGAGUAUUUCCCCUCUUGUUCGUGCGUUGAACACGACAAAAGACUUCUGUUGAAUUUUUUCCUCUCGGGGUUGAAGUUUUUAAACAGAACUGCUCUUUUUGGUUGUUGUUGGGAUCGAUGCAGAGGGGCUCUUUCUAAGAGUUUCAAUCUUUUUUUCGUUCACUUUUCCUUCUAAGGUUUAGUGAAAGUUUUAAGAUUGGGAAUGGACGUAGGGGCUUUCUUCGACCCGUCUUGUAACACGGACCAAGGAGUCCGGUAUGAGCGCGAGUGCUCGGGAAUGUUACUCCCAUGCGCGUAGCGAAAGCAAUGACCGGAUUCUGUUCACCUGGAAAGACUGAUAGAUUCAUCUUCCUCUAUGGACGAUAUAUACUUCUUUCAUCUUUGCUUUGGACACAUAGGUUCUUAAGGUGAGAAAUUUGGCUAUGUCCAUAUUGCAUCAUCAUCCAACUGAUCUACUCCUACAGUCGAUUGGCUUGUGAUUGAGCGCUCAUACUGGGACCCGAAAGAUGGUGAACUA